Molecule: ribosomal RNA, 492 nt
Filed under: uncultured bacterium
Lineage: Bacteria
Description: partial 16S ribosomal RNA
Rfam family: Bacterial small subunit ribosomal RNA
Source: RNAcentral
AGUGAACGCUGGCGGUAGGCCUAACGCAUGCAAGUCGAACGGCAGCACAGUAAGAGCUUGCUCUUACGGGUGGCGAGUGGCGGACGGGUGAGGAAUACAUCGGAAUCUACUUUUUCGUGGGGGAUAACGUAGGGAAACUUACGCUAAUACCGCAUACGACCUACGGGUGAAAGCAGGGGAUCUUCGGACCUUGCGCGAUUGAAUGAGCCGAUGUCGGAUUAGCUAGUUGGCGGGGUAAAGGCCCACCAAGGCGACGAUCCGUAGCUGGUCUGAGAGGAUGAUCAGCCACACUGGAACUGAGACACGGUCCAGACUCCUACGGGAGGCAGCAGUGGGGAAUAUUGGGCAAUGGGCGCAAGCCUGAUCCAGCCAUACCGCGUGGGUGAAGAAGGCCUUCGGGUUGUAAAGCCCUUUUGUUGGGAAAGAAAAGCAGCAGGUUAAUACCCCGCUGUUCUGACGGUACCCAAAGAAUAAGCACCGGCUAACUUCGUG